GAUGAACGCUAGCUACAGGCUUAACACAUGCAAGUCGAGGGGAAACGACAUCGAAAGCUUGCUUUUGAUGGGCGUCGACCGGCGCACGGGUGAGUAACGCGUAUCCAACCUGCCCAUCACUUGGGGAUAACCUUGCGAAAGUAAGACUAAUACCCAAUGAUAUCUCUAGAAGACAUCUGAAAGAGAUUAAAGAUUUAUCGGUGAUGGAUGGGGAUGCGUCUGAUUAGCUUGUUGGCGGGGUAACGGCCCACCAAGGCAACGAUCAGUAGGGGUUCUGAGAGGAAGGUACCCCACAUUGGAACGGAGACACGGUCCAAACUCCUACGGGAGGCAGCAGUGAGGAAUAUUGGUCAAUGGGCGAGAGCCUGAACCAGCCAAGUAGAGUGCAGGAAGACGGCCCUAUGGGUUGUAAACUGCUUUUAUAAGGGAAUAAAGUGAGAGUCGUGACUCUUUUUGUAUGUACCUUACGAAUAAGGACCGGCUAAUUCCGUG
This 492-nucleotide ribosomal RNA is filed under the name uncultured bacterium. RNAcentral describes it as "partial 16S ribosomal RNA". It matches the Rfam family "Bacterial small subunit ribosomal RNA", at positions 28 to 507 of the family's 1533-position model. The record is from RNAcentral.